Molecule: ribosomal RNA, 533 nt
Filed under: uncultured bacterium
Lineage: Bacteria
Description: bacterial SSU rRNA
Rfam family: Bacterial small subunit ribosomal RNA
Source: RNAcentral
AUAGAUACCCCGGUAGUCCUGGCCGUAAACGAUGGGCACUGGGUAGGGGGCUCGCCGAUGGGCUCCCUGCCGCAGGGAAACCGUGAAGUGCCCCGCCUGGGGAGUAUGGUCGCAAGGCUGAAAACUCAAAGGAAUUGACGGGGGCUCACACAAGCGGUGGAGUAUGUGGCUUAAUUCGAGGCUACGCGCAAAACCUUAUCCCAGGCUUGACAUGCACGGAUUAGCCGGCGGAAACGUCGGUGAGGCCGCAAGGUACAACGUGCACAGGUGCUGCAUGGCUGUCGUCAGCUCGUGCCGUGAGGUGUUGGGUUAAGUCCCGUAACGAGCGAAACCCCUGUGUCUAGUUGCCAGCGCGUCAUGGCGGGAACUCUAGGACAGACCGCCGGCGUUAAAGCCGGAGGAAGGCGGGGAUGACGUCAAGUCCUCAUGGCCCUUAUGCCUGGGGCUGCACACGUACUACGAAUGGAGCGGACAGAGCGUCGCAAGAUCGCAAGGUCAAGCUAAUCGCAGAAACCGCUCCCCGAGUUCGGAUU